Pyrus x bretschneideri (Chinese white pear) is the source of this 1090-nucleotide long non-coding RNA. RefSeq lists it as uncharacterized. The transcript has 2 exons. Lineage: Eukaryota; Viridiplantae; Streptophyta; Magnoliopsida; Rosales; Rosaceae. The record is from RefSeq and is a predicted model, not a curated record.
AGACAAGGAAAAUAAACUAGGAAAAUAGAAAUAGAAAAUAAAAGAAAGAAACAAUAAAAGAAAAUAUAAAAUAACAAAGGAAACAGGAACAGAAAUAAAAGAAAAGACAAGGAAACUGACACACCUGGGAUUCGAAGUGGUGACCUGGUGACAAGAAAGAAACAGAGGCGCUGGAAAAUAUUGGAAAAAGAAGCAAAAUUUCAGUGCUCUGGAGAGUUGAACCCGUGACAGGAAGCAUUUCCUCAUCCCUCCUAACUAGCGCCGUUUGAUAACCUCGCUCUCUCACUACCCACGAGCCCAGAGCCGUGAAAGCUAUCUCCUUCAUUUCCUCUCUCUCUUCAUUUCUCAUGGAACUGAAACCCUAGAUUCUGUCUUCAGCCCAGAACGUCAAAACAUGAAUCCAUCUCCAUCUCCAUCUCUGUCAAAAACGGAACCCAGCCAUGGCGAUCUGUGAUUCUAGCCCAGAUUGUCACCAUCGUGCAUUCCUCUGCAAAACCCGAGACUUGGGGAUCCGAGUAAGGCCAAGGGGAAUAGGAGCCGCAAGGAUCAAUGGCUCACACAUGGAGCUGCUGUACACACAGCAAAGAUGGCUGCAAGAACUCGGAUCUACAAAAUGAAAGGUAAAUCAAAUCCCUCCACUGCGUUAAAAUUAAGCAUGGUUUAAUAUCUCUGAAAGUCAUACGGAUUUGUGAAAUGUUUCUGUCAUGCAUUCAUAGACCUAAAAUUUCGUCAAUGCUCAUGUAAUUUUCUGUGUGCUUGCGUGCCUCCAUGUGACAAAUAUUGAGCAAAAACUGUGCAGAUACUGGAUCGGAGACAUGACUUUGAUGAAUGUCCACCUCUGUUUUGCCUGGACCGGAAAGGGAUCCGGUCUGGAUCCCUUCCUCCUAAUCCACCAAAUCAGAGAAUCCGUCUUAUUAAAAUUUGAUCUAACAAUUGAAGUUAUUAUAAUUUUUAAAGGGAGUUCUUGUUUGUAGCUAUUGUAUGUAUGACUGAACUCAGCCUCAAAUUCUUUUCUACAUUCGUGUAGAUGAUGAAUGCUCAGAUAAAUGUUGAUGAAUGGAUGAAUGAUGAAUGCAUAUUUGUAUCUUUA